Molecule: ribosomal RNA, 499 nt
Filed under: uncultured bacterium
Lineage: Bacteria
Description: bacterial SSU rRNA
Rfam family: Bacterial small subunit ribosomal RNA
Source: RNAcentral
AACGAACGCUGGCGGCGUGCCUAACACAUGCAAGUCGCACGAGAAAGCGGGCUUCGGCCCGCCGGUAAAGUGGCAGACGGGUGAGUAACACGUGGUAACCUCCCCAGAGGUGGGGGAUAACCCUCCGAAAGGAGGGCUAAUACCGCAUGAUAUCGCGAGGGCCUCGGCUCUUGCGAUCAAAGCUAGCCUCUACUCGUAAGCUAGCGCCACUGGAUGGACCCGCGCCCCAUUAGCUAGUUGGUGAGGUAAUGGCUCACCAAGGCUCCGAUGGGUAGCCGGCCUGAGAGGGUGUCCGGCCACACUGGAACUGAGACACGGUCCAGACUCCUACGGGAGGCAGCAGUGAGGAAUCUUGCGCAAUGGGCGAAAGCCUGACGCAGCGACGCCGCGUGGAGGACGAAGGUCUUCGGAUCGUAAACUCCUGUCAAGCGGGACGAAAUCUGCAGGGAUGAAUAAGCCCUGCGGUUGACGGUACCGCUGGAGGAAGCCCCGGCUAACU